AGGGCUGGAAAAAUACUAGAUGCGCUACUCGUGGACUCGUGAAUACACUCGUGAAUACAGGCCAUUUCCUGUACCUACAGCCACCCGCUAUUAUAGAUCCAGACUCCUGUGCCUGACCACUGCCCAUGGCCAACUCUCUGCUGAUGACUGGACUUGACUACACAAGUUGUUGGGCUCAACACCAUGUGGAAGCUGCCAGGGCUUGGGGCUUUCACCCUCUGAAGCCACGACCUGAACCAUACCUUGACCCCUUUUAACCACGGCUGGAAUGGCUGGGACACAGGGCACCAAGUCCCUAGGAUGUACACAGAAGAGGGGCCCUGGGCUCCACCCGCAAAACCAUUUUUUCCUCCUAAGACUCUAGACCUAUGAUGGGAGGGUCUGCUGCAAAGGUCUCUGACAUGCCCUGGAGACAUUUUCCCUAUUGUCUUGGUGAUUAACAUUUGACUCAUUAUUACUUAUGUGAAUUUUUGCAGCUGGCUUGAAUUUCUCCUCAGAAAAUGGGAUUUUCUUUCCUAUUGCAUUGUCAGUCCUCCAAACUAUUCCAACUUCUGUCUGUUACCCAAUUCCAAGGUCACUUCUGCAUUUUUGGGUAUCUUUUCAGGAGCAUCCCACUCUACUGGUACCAAUUUGCUGUAUUAGUCUGUUCUCAUGCUGCUGAUAAAGACAUACCCAAGACUGGGCAAUUUAUAAAAGAAAGAGGUUUAAUGAACUUACAGUUCCAUGUGCCUGGGGAAGCCUCACAAUCAUGGUGGAAGGCAAGGAGGAGCAAGUCACCUCUUACAUGGAUGGCAGUAGGCAAAAGAGAGAGCUUGUGCAGGGAAACUCCCCUUAUAAUAUGGUCAGAUCUUGUGAGACUUAUUCACUAUUAUGGGAACAGCACAGGAAAGACCUGCCCCCAUUAUUCAAUUACCUCCCACCAUAUCCCUCCCACAACAUAUGGAAUUCAAGAUGAGAUUUGGGUUGAGACACAGCCAAACUAUAUCAGUGCAUUAAGGAUUGUCAUGUCUUUAUGGGGUAUUGACCCUUUUAUCAUUUUGUUAUGUCCCUCUUUAUCCCUGAUAACUUUCCUUGUUCCGAAAUUUGCUUUGUAUGGAAUUACAUAGCUACUCCUGCUUUCUUUUGAUUGGUGUUAGCAUAAUUAUCUUCACUCGUUUUCUUUUAAUCUAUAUGUGUCUUUAUAUUUAAGAUGAGUUUUUUGUAGACAACAAUAGUUUGGCCUUCUUUUUUGAUCCACUUUGAUAUAUAUAUUUUAAUCAGUGUAUUUAGACCAUUGAGUUUUAAAAUGAUUGUCAAUGGAUCUGGACUCAUAUCUACCAUAUUUGUUAAUGUUUUCUAUUCAUUUACCUUGUUCUUAUUUUGUCUUCUUUUCUGUUUCUGCCUUUUGUGGUUUUAAGUGAGCAUUUUAUAUGAUUUCAUUUUCUCUCCU
Long non-coding RNA from Homo sapiens (human), 1429 nucleotides. Ensembl annotates it as AHI1 divergent transcript. Its record names the gene AHI1-DT. Lineage: Eukaryota; Metazoa; Chordata; Mammalia; Primates; Hominidae. The record is from Ensembl.